UUACUGGUUUUUUUAAAAACCACCUAUGAAAGACAUUUAGGGGGAA
Molecule: non-coding RNA, 46 nt
Organism: Callithrix jacchus (white-tufted-ear marmoset)
Lineage: Eukaryota; Metazoa; Chordata; Mammalia; Primates; Cebidae
Source: Rfam